Molecule: ribosomal RNA, 253 nt
Filed under: uncultured bacterium
Lineage: Bacteria
Description: partial 16S ribosomal RNA
Rfam family: Bacterial small subunit ribosomal RNA
Source: RNAcentral
UACAGAGGCCUCGAGCGUUAGGCGGAAUCACUGGGCUUAAAGCGUGUGUAGGCGGACUUCUAAGUACCUUGUGAAAUCCCACGGCUCACCCGUGGAACUGCUCGGUAUACUGGUCGUCUUGAGCCUUCUAGGGGCGAGUGGAACAAAUGGUGGAGCGGUGAAAUGCGUAGACAUCAUUUGGAACGCCAAUGGUGAAAACAACUCGCUGGGGAAGUGCUGACGCUGAGACACGAAAGCCAGGGGAGCGAACGGG